Molecule: ribosomal RNA, 274 nt
Filed under: uncultured bacterium
Lineage: Bacteria
Description: partial 16S ribosomal RNA
Rfam family: Bacterial small subunit ribosomal RNA
Source: RNAcentral
AUACGGAGGGUGCGAGCGUUAAUCGGAAUUACUGGGCGUAAAGCGUACGUAGGCGGUUGGUUAAGUUAGAUGUGAAAGCCCCGGGCUUAACCUGGGAACUGCAUUUAAAACUGGCGAACUAGAGUUGAGUAGAGGGGAGUGGAAUUUCAGGUGUAGCGGUGAAAUGCGUAGGGAUCUGAAGGAACACCAGUGGCGAAGGCGACUCCCUGGACUCGAACUGACGCUGAGGUACGAAAGCGUGGGUAGCAAACGGGAUUAGAUACCCCAGUAGUCC